AUUGAACGCUGGCGGCAGGCCUAACACAUGCAAGUCGAGCGGAUGAAGGGAGCUUGCUCCUGGAUUCAGCGGCGGACGGGUGAGUAAUGCCUAGGAAUCUGCCUGGUAGUGGGGGAUAACGUCCGGAAACGGGCGCUAAUACCGCAUACGUCCUGAGGGAGAAAGUGGGGGAUCUUCGGACCUCACGCUAUCAGAUGAGCCUAGGUCGGAUUAGCUAGUUGGUGGGGUAAAGGCCUACCAAGGCGACGAUCCGUAACUGGUCUGAGAGGAUGAUCAGUCACACUGGAACUGAGACACGGUCCAGACUCCUACGGGAGGCAGCAGUGGGGAAUAUUGGACAAUGGGCGAAAGCCUGAUCCAGCCAUGCCGCGUGUGUGAAGAAGGUCUUCGGAUUGUAAAGCACUUUAAGUUUGGAGGAAGGGCAGUAAGUUCAUACCUUGCUGUUUUGACGUUACCAACAGAAUAAGCACCGGCUAACUUCGUG
Molecule: ribosomal RNA, 484 nt
Filed under: uncultured bacterium
Lineage: Bacteria
Description: partial 16S ribosomal RNA
Rfam family: Bacterial small subunit ribosomal RNA
Source: RNAcentral